GGGUUGUGAGGUUAAGCGACUAAGCGUACACGGUGGAUGCCUAGGCAGUCAGAGGCGAUGAAGGGCGUGCUAAUCUGCGAAAAGCGUCGGUAAGGUGAUAUGAACCGUUACAACCGACGAUACCCGAAUGGGGGAAACCCAGUGCAAUUCGUUGCACUAUUGCAUGGUGAAUACAUAGCCAUGCAAGGCGAACCGGGGGAACUGAAACAUCUAAGUACCCCGAGGAAAAGAAAUCAACCGAGAUUCCCCCAGUAGCGGCGAGCGAACGGGGAGGAGCCCAGAGUCUGAAUCAGUUUGUGUGUUAGUGGAAGCGUCUGGAAAGUCGCAGGGUACAGGGUGAUACUCCCGUACACAAAAACACACUUGCUGUGAACUCGAUGAGUAGGGCGGGACACGUGACAUCCUGUCUGAAUAUGGGGGGGACCAUCCUCCAAGGCUAAAUACUCCUGACUGACCGAUAGUGAACCAGUACCGUGAGGGAAAGGCGAAAAGAACCCCGGCGAGGGGAGUGAAAUAGAACCUGAAACCGUGUACGUACAAGCAGUGGGAGCACCUUCGUGGUGUGACUGCGUACCUUUUGUAUAAUGGGUCAGCGACUUAUAUUUUGUAGCAAGGUUAACCGAAUAGGGGAGCCGUAGGGAAACCGAGUCUUAACUGGGCGUCUAGUUGCAAGGUAUAGACCCGAAACCCGGUGAUCUAGCCAUGGGCAGGUUGAAGGUUGGGUAACACUAACUGGAGGACCGAACCGACUAAUGUUGAAAAAUUAGCGGAUGACUUGUGGCUGGGGGUGAAAGGCCAAUCAAACCGGGAGAUAGCUGGUUCUCCCCGAAAGCUAUUUAGGUAGCGCCUCGUGAACUCAUCUUCGGGGGUAGAGCACUGUUUCGGCUAGGGGGUCAUCCCGACUUACCAAACCGAUGCAAACUCCGAAUACCGAAGAAUGUUAUCACGGGAGACACACGGCGGGUGCUAACGUCCGUCGUGAAGAGGGAAACAACCCAGACCGCCAGCUAAGGUCCCAAAGUCAUGGUUAAGUGGGAAACGAUGUGGGAAGGCAUAGACAGCCAGGAUGUUGGCUUAGAAGCAGCCAUCAUUUAAAGAAAGCGUAAUAGCUCACUGGUCGAGUCGGCCUGCGCGGAAGAUGUAACGGGGCUAAACCAUGCACCGAAGCUGCGGCAGCGACACUUAGGUGUUGUUGGGUAGGGGAGCGUUCUGUAAGCCGUUGAAGGUGACCUGUGAGGGUUGCUGGAGGUAUCAGAAGUGCGAAUGCUGACAUAAGUAACGAUAAUGCGGGUGAAAAGCCCGCACGCCGGAAGACCAAGGGUUCCUGUCCAACGUUAAUCGGGGCAGGGUGAGUCGACCCCUAAGGCGAGGCUGAAAAGCGUAGUCGAUGGGAAACAGGUUAAUAUUCCUGUACUUAGUGUUACUGCGAAGGGGGGACGGAGAAGGCUAGGCUAGCCGGGCGACGGUUGUCCCGGUUUAAGCAUGUAGGCGGAGUGACUUGGUAAAUCCGGUUGCUUAUCAACGCUGAGGUGUGAUGACGAGUCACUACGGUGAUGAAGUAGUUGAUGCCAAGCUUCCAGGAAAAGCCUCUAAGCAUCAGGUAACAUUAAAUCGUACCCCAAACCGACACAGGUGGUCAGGUAGAGAAUACUCAGGCGCUUGAGAGAACUCGGGUGAAGGAACUAGGCAAAAUGGUGCCGUAACUUCGGGAGAAGGCACGCUGGCAUUAGGUAAAGAGACUUGCUCUCGGCGCCGAAGCCAGUCGCAGAUACCAGCUGGCUGCAACUGUUUAAUAAAAACACAGCACUGUGCAAACACGAAAGUGGACGUAUACGGUGUGACGCCUGCCCGGUGCUGGAAGGUUAAUUGAUGGGGUCAGCCGCAAGGCGAAGCUCUUGAUCGAAGCCCCAGUAAACGGCGGCCGUAACUAUAACGGUCCUAAGGUAGCGAAAUUCCUUGUCGGGUAAGUUCCGACCUGCACGAAUGGCGUAAUGAUGGCCAGGCUGUCUCCACCCGAGACUCAGUGAAAUUGAACUCGCUGUGAAGAUGCAGUGUACCCGCGGCAAGACGGAAAGACCCCGUGAACCUUUACUAUAGCUUGACACUGAACAUUGAGCCUUGAUGUGUAGGAUAGGUGGGAGGCAUCGAAGCGUGGACGCCAGUCUGCGUGGAGCCAACCUUGAAAUACCACCCUUUAAUGUUUGAUGUUCUAACUCGGCCCCGUAAUCCGGGGUGAGGACAGUGUCUGGUGGGUAGUUUGACUGGGGCGGUCUCCUCCCAAAGAGUAACGGAGGAGCACGAAGGUUAGCUAAUCACGGUCGGACAUCGUGAGGUUAGUGCAAAGGCAUAAGCUAGCUUGACUGCGAGAGUGACGGCUCGAGCAGGUACGAAAGUAGGUCUUAGUGAUCCGGUGGUUCUGAAUGGAAGGGCCAUCGCUCAACGGAUAAAAGGUACUCCGGGGAUAACAGGCUGAUACCGCCCAAGAGUUCAUAUCGACGGCGGUGUUUGGCACCUCGAUGUCGGCUCAUCACAUCCUGGGGCUGAAGUAGGUCCCAAGGGUAUGGCUGUUCGCCAUUUAAAGUGGUACGCGAGCUGGGUUUAGAACGUCGUGAGACAGUUCGGUCCCUAUCUGCCGUGGGCGUUGGAAGAUUGAGAGGGGCUGCUCCUAGUACGAGAGGACCGGAGUGGACGAAUCACUGGUGUUCGGGUUGUCAUGCCAAUGGCAUUGCCCGGUAGCUAAAUUCGGAAGAGAUAACCGCUGAAAGCAUCUAAGCGGGAAACUUGCCUCGAGAUGAGUCUUCCCUGGGGCUUUAAGCCCCCUGAAGGAACGUUAAAGACUAUGACGUUGAUAGGCUGGGUGUGUAAGUGCAGCGAUGCAUUGAGCUAACCAGUACUAAUGAUCCGUGAGGCUUAACCUUACAACACCGAAGGUGUUU
RNAcentral lists this ribosomal RNA (2936 nucleotides) under Yersinia canariae. RNAcentral's name for it is "23S ribosomal RNA". It matches the Rfam family "Bacterial large subunit ribosomal RNA". The record is from RNAcentral. Lineage: Bacteria; Pseudomonadati; Pseudomonadota; Gammaproteobacteria; Enterobacterales; Yersiniaceae.